GGGUGCGAUCAUACCAACGUUAAUGCACCAGAUCCCAUCAGAACUUCAUAGUUAAGCACACUUGGGAUAGAUUAGUACUCAGAUGGGUGACCUCCCGGGAAGUUCUAGUGUUGCACCCU
Molecule: non-coding RNA, 119 nt
Organism: Picea glauca (white spruce)
Lineage: Eukaryota; Viridiplantae; Streptophyta; Pinopsida; Pinales; Pinaceae
Source: Rfam